This is a long non-coding RNA of Lucilia sericata (common green bottle fly), 708 nucleotides long. RefSeq lists it as uncharacterized. The transcript has 4 exons. The record is from RefSeq and is a predicted model, not a curated record. NCBI's taxonomy places the organism in Eukaryota, Metazoa, Arthropoda, Insecta, Diptera, Calliphoridae.
UUGAAAGUGUUAAUAUUGAAGUGUUUAGAAGUGUAUAAGUGUAAAGCAGUGUACCUAAUUUAAGACUUAAGUGUUAGGGCCUCAUUAACAGGACUAAUAUUAUAAUACAUUUUAUGAUUAAAAAUUAAAAUUAAAAACUCAAGCUGCUAAAAAAGUAUUCAAAUCUAUGGAUCAUGGCUUCUACUAAUCGCAAUCCUAUUUUCCAAAUUUUAAAAUUAUUCUAAUUUUUUCCACUCUUUGCCAAGGUCAAGCAAAUCUCACCGAAAAUGAUCAAAUGCCAGCUUUAUACAAAUUCGAUAAUUAUAAUGACUGUGUAAAUCGUGCUAACACUGAACCAUCAUAUCCUGCAAAAUAUUGUAUGGUAUUCGUACAACUACAGCCGAAUAAUGACUCCUCAGUAUGGCAUGAAAUUGAACUAUUAAGUUCAAAUAAAUUUAAAUUUCGUCAUGAUCAUCUCUUUCGGGGAGUUUGUCUGGAGAAAUGUAAAGAUUUUCUUGAAGAUAAUGUGAUGAAGCUGACUCACAAAUGGCUUAUUAACUAAUGAGCACACAGAAAUGUUGAAUUAGCUCACCAUACGCCACUGGAUCAUACUAUGCGUUAUCAUUAUCAUAGUAAUAUCCAUGAAUGUGUUAAUCAGGAAUAUAUGGAGAAGCAUAAUUUAAGUACAAAGACAUUUGUUAUUUAUUGUGUGGAUCCAGAUGAACGUAG